AUACAGAGGGUGCGAGCGUUAAUCGGAAUUACUGGGCGUAAAGCGCGCGUAGGCGGCUUGGUCAGUCGGAUGUGGAAGCCCUGGGCUCAACCUGGGAAUUGCAUUCGAUACUGCCAAGCUAGAGUAUGGGAGAGGGAAGUGGAAUUUCCGGUGUAGCGGUGAAAUGCGUAGAUAUCGGAAAGAACACCAGUGGCGAAGGCGACUUCCUGGCCCAAUACUGACGCUGAGGUGCGAAAGCGUGGGGAGCGAACAGGAUUAGAUACCCUAGUAGUCC
RNAcentral lists this ribosomal RNA (274 nucleotides) under uncultured bacterium. RNAcentral's name for it is "partial 16S ribosomal RNA". It matches the Rfam family "Bacterial small subunit ribosomal RNA", at positions 523 to 796 of the family's 1533-position model. The record is from RNAcentral.